This is a long non-coding RNA of Bos taurus (domestic cattle), 1193 nucleotides long. NCBI's taxonomy places the organism in Eukaryota, Metazoa, Chordata, Mammalia, Artiodactyla, Bovidae. The record is from Ensembl.
AACCACACCAUCAGGGGUCUCUAAAAGCUCCCAGCUCACAGGGAAGAUCCAAAGAAUAGGCAAAUGUGUUCAGUUAUAAGUGGUAAGGCAGGGACACCUAAACCAGGCACCUAUCCAGGCUGCAACUUAAGAAAGUGGUGUCUGAGCAGACAUUGAAGUGAAAGUGAAGUCGCUCAGUCGUGUCUGACUCUGCAACCCUGUGGGUUAUAGCCUACCAUGCUCCUCCGUCCAUGGGAUUUUCCAGGCAAGAGUACUGGAAAACGGCAUGCCAGAUUCUUCCACUGUUACUCUUCUCCAUGAUAUGCUGGCAAAAGAUUGGGACAAGACCAGUAAAGCAGGAGAGUCGAGCAUCUUUCUCUGCUUGUUCUGGGAAGUGCAUGAUAUCCUUGGCCUCUACCCAGCCUGAGGCUCACCAGAUCUGACCAAGUCUGGAAUUUCUUCCCCAGCACUUUGUCUCUACUGCUAUGUCUGGUUCCUCCCUUUCUUCAGAUGAGUCUCUCUUCCCUGAAGUCACCCACGCCCUUGGAUUGGACUGCAUGGAAAUGUUUUAUUUCCCAAUGAUUCCCAGCCAACAUUUACCUAGUGAUGCCUCAUUACCAUUUAGAGAACAACCUUCAUGAUGUGCAUCAGGAAUCAUCGGUUAUUCUCUCCCUUCAGGAAAAAGAGGCAUUUAAUAUAUUAGUCUUUUCCAGAGUUUGGCUCCAUCUCUGAUCAAAAGCUCUUGAAACAGAUGCACUUAAGAAAUGUUUGCAUACAUUCCUAGUAAUUAAAGCUCAUUUAACUGGUCAGGGAGUUGACUCUCAUCUGGGACAAAGAUGGCUUCAAGAUACCAACAAUAACUUCCUUCACCCUCAGAAAUAAAAUAAAAUCCUUUACCUUUCCUUUAGAGGAAAACUAAAGGUUGCCUCUGAACAUCAUUUCCAUCACAGUUGAACCCCAGAACAGACUUCAUUCUGACUGAAGUAGUAUUGGCUCCAUCUUGCCCAUUAGAGUUCUUUGAAGGAAGGGUUACUUGGCAGUAACCUUCAGAAUCUCACUCAGAAAUAGGAUUCUGAAAAAUUUAGGAAAAGUAAUAUGUAUUACUAUCUUUGGGGAAGAUGGCAAAGGUCAUGAGGAAGGAGGCUCGGCAUACGCAAAGGCGGGAUCAAGCCUCAGGAGUCCCCCUGGAAAUUCUUGAGCAUCUACCCCCAAAA